AACGAACGCUGGCGGCAGGCCUAACACAUGCAAGUCGAACGCCGUAGCAAUACGGAGUGGCAGACGGGUGCGUAACGCGUGGGAACAUACCCUUUGGUUCGGAAUAACUCAGGGAAACUUGAGCUAAUACCGGAUACGUCCGAGAGGAGAAAGAUUUAUCGCCGAAGGAUUGGCCCGCGUCUGAUUAGCUAGUUGGUGAGGUAACGGCUCACCAAGGCGACGAUCAGUAGCUGGUCNGAGAGGAUGAUCAGCCACACUGGGACUGAGACACGGCCCAGACUCCUACGGGAGGCAGCAGUGGGGAAUAUUGGACAAUGGGCGCAAGCCUGAUCCAGCCAUGCCGCGUGAGUGAUGAAGGCCUUAGGGUUGUAAAGCUCUUUUACCCGGGAAGAUAAUGACGGUACCGGGAGAAUAAGCCCCGGCUAACUUCGUGCCAGCAGCCGCAGUAAG
This 450-nucleotide ribosomal RNA is filed under the name uncultured bacterium. RNAcentral describes it as "bacterial SSU rRNA". It matches the Rfam family "Bacterial small subunit ribosomal RNA", at positions 29 to 524 of the family's 1533-position model. The record is from RNAcentral.